GCUGGCCUGCAAAGUUUGUGCAUGGCUGGGAACCGUUUUUUGAACCAACAUUCAACGAAGGGGAGCCCGACUCGUCGGCCCGGUGUGCAAUGUUCCGCCACGCGGAAAUGCCUGAAGGGCUGCGGAGGGCACCCACCGUCUAGCGACGGGUUCAUAAAACGGCCCCACCUCACGGCCCCGCGGACCGGCU
RNAcentral lists this non-coding RNA (190 nucleotides) under Acidobacteriota bacterium. RNAcentral describes it as "6S RNA". It matches the Rfam family "6S / SsrS RNA". From Rfam's summary of the family: E. coli 6S RNA was the first non coding RNA to be sequenced, but its function was unknown until recently. It consists of 184 nucleotides that fold into an extended hairpin structure with a large single-stranded internal bulge. The record is from RNAcentral. Lineage: Bacteria; Pseudomonadati; Acidobacteriota.